GGCUGGGGGAGGGGAUGCGAAAGGGGCGGGGCAAGGAGGGGCCAGGCCCCGCCCUCCCGCAGGUGACCGCGGAGGCUGAGCGGCUGCAAGCGGGGGCCGGGCCCGGGGGCGGGGUCUGUCGCGCGCGCCCCCCACGUGUCCCCGGUCCCCGGCCCUGCCCCCGGGCCGGCGCUUAUAACUCGGGAUGCGCGCCCCGGCCGACCCUGCUCCGUCGCCUGCCGCCGCCGCCUGGCCCGGAGACGUUCACUGAGCCGUGAAGACAGAUUCCAGACGCCGGGGAACCCACACCUCCAAUCCCAGGCGAGAUGUCCAGCAAAGGCUCCGUGGUUCUGGCCUACAGUGGCGGCCUCGACACCUCCUGCAUCCUGGUGUGGCUGAAGGAACAGGGCUACGACGUCAUUGCCUACCUGGCCAACAUCGGCCAGAAGGAAGACUUUGAGGAAGCCAGGAAGAAGGCGCUGAAGCUCGGGGC
Microcebus murinus (gray mouse lemur) is the source of this 472-nucleotide non-coding RNA. NCBI's taxonomy places the organism in Eukaryota, Metazoa, Chordata, Mammalia, Primates, Cheirogaleidae. The record is from RefSeq and is a predicted model, not a curated record.